AAAUUAUUUCAAAGUGAUAAAAAACCGAUCCGAGUUUUUCUUCUUUUGUUUUGUUUUUUUUUUUUUUUUUAGCAUUUCAUACUAGACACACGACUGCUUUCGCGCGCAAGGCGCAUAAAUCAAACAGAUGCACUUGAAAAUAUUUAAUAAGAAAGUACACAAAACAUGAAUAGAAAUUCCGAAAUGCUUUUAGGCAAUGAAAGCACGUCAGUAGAACUGAGAAUAUAAAAUUGCAAAACAUAGAUGCAAAAGUACUUUAAACUUUUCUUUACAUGACCUCAUAUCCCUCACGGCAACCACAAGGUUAUAUACUAUGAAUUAAUAUAAACACUGACUACUGAAACAGACAAAUAUUGCUAACAACUGCAAAGCAGACUUCCUCCACUUGCUGAGGUCUCAAUUGAUUAAAAAAAAAAAAAAGUUAUGUUUAGAGAAGAUUUAUAUGCUCAACUACUAAAAGUAUUUGACCUAAAAAGGAAGGGAGAAGGAUUAACAACUCGACUCAAGAAAAGCAGCAAACGUCUGUACGGGCGACAAAAUGCUCACAGAAUGUCUUUUCCACAAGCUAGUGUCUUGAAAUCAAGUAUUCUACUUUCUUUCUCAGUGUUUCUUUGAAGAGAUGACAGGGUCUUUUUUCACAGGAACCCACUCUCCUUUCUUAGGUUGUCGAUAUACAAGCGAGAUGAUGUAGCUCAGCUAUAUGUUCUCUUUCUGUACUUAGCGGAAAGGACUACUUAUGGCGGUCCGUUGUUGAUAAUCGAGAGGAUUUCUUCGAUCUACGAAAUACCCUACACAGCCCUAGAAUAAUUUAUAUAUUGGCUUUUCAAAGAAAGGCAAUAUAUAGGAAGUGGUCGAACAAUUUUUAAUAGCGUUCAUCCUUGGGCCAAAACAAGUCAGUAAAUUUCAUCACAGUAUCUCAAAAAUUGCAGCCUAUACUUUGAACACACAAAUAUAAAACAGACACAUAGACAGACAGAUAAGUUUGGAUUGAUUCAGAAAAUAAUUCUAAAUCGAUCGAUGUGAUAAAAGAUGGUUGUAUUUCAAGUCCUUCCUGGUGCUGCAUUCAUUUCCGCAAACUUAAUAUAUACUUGUGUCAGAAGUGGUGUAGGGUAUAAAAAGUUGGAAAGUAUUAUAUAAGUAACGUGAUGGUCUCUUCAGACGUCAUGAUUUUUCUUAUUUGAACUUUUAUUAGGAUAAGGCAGCAAAGAAUUUUUUUAUAUAACUGCUGCUACCCUACUUGGAUGCGUUUACUCAUGUUGCUACUUACUGUAGCAUUUUUUUUCUAUAUGACCACUCGCAAAGCAAAUGCUGCGUAUACGUGCAACAUGGUGGUAGUCAGUAAGUCGCCACUCUCUAAUGGAUGUAUUUCCAACAGGUACCAGUAAUUCGUUUACCGCCUAACUUGAGAUAAGAAAUGAUUGCUCCCGACUUAACCUUUUUUGUUUUGCUUUUAUUGUUUCUUUAACUUUUUCUAAUAUUUUGCUUUCCUUUCUCCUCAAUUCCAAAAAUUAUCUAAAUUGAUCUUUAAGUUUUUGCAGGUUUAGUACAACACUAACUUGAAGCCGUACUCACGACUUUAUAGCAAGGUGGUAACUUGACAGAAAUACGCAAAUUGAUAUCUCCCUUCACUCUUAUGAUAAAAAAUACAUGUGGAUAAUGAGGGAUAUGACAAAUAUUCCUAUGCAGUGUAAACUUUAGACAGAUAUAAUAGUGAACCUCUUAUGCACAAUAUGUAGGAGAACUUCUACGUAAAAAUUCUUUCGCAUGACUCUCCAAUAUUUGUGACUAAAUAAGUGGAUGUCUUCCGUUCGGUGAAAAGAAUAAGUAAGAAAAUUGUGUUCAGUCGUGACAGAAUCUUUACCCUAAAAAAACACAAGAAAACUAAAUUUUCAUGGUUUAUAAUGUGGAGUGUGGGGCGCAGGUGUUUUAUUUCCUUUUCAAAAUAAAUAAAUUUUUGUGCGGGCGUUACAGACACGUCAUUUUUAAAUUAUUUUGAUAAUUUUUAGGCGAUAUCUUAGUUUUCGCUAACGGAAGAAUGUUUGUCACAGACACUACUACACAGCUGCGCCGACCGACGGAUGGACAGACGACAUGUUUAGGUGCAUUUCAAAUUUGAAAUUGGACAAGAAUUUAUAUGCUUUAUGGGGCUUUUGAAGUUUGUACGUUCGUCUUAUAAAUGUAUUGAAAAAAAUUAAACUUUGGUGUACUGUACGUCAUGAUCAAUUUUUCCUAGUUUUGCACAGGUACUACAGGAUCACCCACAGAGUAUGUGUUUAAAUUUUUGUAGAUUUAGUUGCUAAAAUCCAUGAGCAAUGAGCAAAAAAAAAUUGUUUUCUUCCUUUUGAAAACCAAAGGUAUUCUCAGUUGACGCUCGGGACGUAUCUUUCGAUUGGUUUGGCCCACUUCCAAUACCAACUUGCGCGCAAGAACUUCCAAUGCUUCUGGUAGGUAGAAAGAUGUGUUGUUGCAAAAAGGUCGGAAGUCACAAGAAAUAUGCUUAUAAAAAGUGAACAAUAGACCAAAGGGAGAAUAUCCUGGUUGACAACAGAAGAAAAAACUGAACUAAAGAAGACUGUUUGAAAAGUUUUCUGCACUCCCUUAUACCCACUGAAGACAAUCCCAUUGAUUUUGGAAUCAUCCUUCAACCAGAUAAUGAUCCUAAAUAAUCCUCUCGACUAUGUUAGAAUUUUUUGAACAAGAGAAACGAUGAAAGAAAUUUUAAAAAUCACUUAAUCUUUCUCCCAUCGAACUUGUGAAGGGUGGAAAAUCGAUCUCCUAUGCGCUCGAAAAAAUUUGUGGCAACUAUUAGAACUGUAGAAAGGAAUAAAUUCGUAAGAAAAUUAUUUUAAGAAAUUCAUUAAUAGAAUCUUUAAAAUAUGCGAGAAAGUGGACGUGGUUCCCAUCAGCGAAUUAUAUUCAUUUUGUCAAAUCGUUGACAAUGCCCAGAAGCAAACUUCACCUCGAUUUAAGAAUGUCCGUCCAUCCGUCUGUGCAAUAGCUGUUGCAACCAUUCUCUUGGUCGCAAAAAUGAAGGUAUCAGCUCUAAAUAAAUUUGGCAUGGAAAGUUCUUAGAGUCAGUUUAAUUUGAAAAUCGGCCAAAUUGGCCGAAGGACAUCCUACAGUACUAGGUAAAGUGUGGCCACCUCUGUUUUUCCAAAGGAAGAAAAAAUUAGUUUCUUGCUCAUUACUCAUAAACUACACCUCUACAAGAGUGGAAAAUUCUGUCUCGCCUGCUCCAUUUUGUAGUGAGUCAUAAUUUCAUUUCUCUUUUAAAGCCUUUAUAUAACGAGCAACAACAAGCUUGAAGUGUGUAAAUUCUUGGUCGGUUUCAAAUUUGGAAUGCAUCCCUAAGCAUGUCCCUCAGUUGAUCUGUCCGUCUGUGCAACCGUCUAAUAUUGCGAAAGCCUACAAACUUGACAAAGAAUUUGAAAAUGACUCAAAAAAUUUCCAAAGAACAUGCCUACAAUGCCCGCACGUCAACCACACAAUCACACCUUUGCUUUCCGUCUUUUUUGCUUAUUACACAUAAAGUACAACCGUUACGUGUAAAUUCCCACUUUUAUUUUCAAAAGACAAAAAAAUCAGUCGAGGCCGCCGAAUAUUAUAAAAUAUGAGACAAUGUACUUCUUUCCCUUUUGCUUUUGAGGAUGAUAGGUAUAAAAAAUUCGGUCACGGCCGAACAUAAUUUUUAUACUUGUUAUGUUCAAGUUAGCUUUUAUUUAAUUUUAAAUUUCAUAUCAAUGUCGAGAUGGCUUCUUUCCAUUCUAUUUGAUUUCACGUUGCUGCUUCCAAACUUUUGGACGGUAGUGUAUAUAAAAAUAUUUUCUUUGUUAUAUAUUCAUAUUCACAUUCGAUUCGAAAACAAAUACCUGGCUAAUGUAAGCGUACAGGUUGAUUGAGAUCUUUUAUAUAUAUUUUGAUAGCUCGCUAGACAUUGUUCCUCAUUGCAAUUAUCUAACGGUUACGAAUCACAUCAUAGGGGCCACAAUAACAUCUUCAGUCGAAAGAGGUAAGUAAGUAAGCACCCGGUGACCAGGUUCAUUGCAUAUCACAGAUACGAGCGUAUGCGACAAUGACUGAAUUUAUAGAUUUAUAAUCAUCUUACGCUAAUCAUAAUCGCAUCCCAAUUCCAAUCCUAAUUUUUGUGAAAAGAAAUCACGAAAUUAUUAUACUUCUCUAAGCUAUUAUGCGGCCGAUAGGUAAAAAAAAAUUAUGUAAUUUUUUGAAAGGUUUUGCAUGUAAUGCAAAUGAGUUAAUUGCAUUUAAUGAAUGUCAAGUGUAUUGAUAUCUACACUAUAGUACGUAAUAAUGUCAAUUCGAAGAUGAACAAUUUAUAUCAAUUGCUGGAUAAGAUAAUUGAAGAUAAAAUGAAUGUAUCAAUUGCAAAAGUUACAUAAAUUAAUUUUUUUUUGCUUUUUUUUUGAUUUUGUUUUGUUUCGCUUUGUUUUCACUUUUUAAGGUAGUAAGUAGAGAAAAGCAUUUAGAGAGGGAAUGUAAUAUCAUUAGCACAGCUCAGUAAAUCGUUUAUUUUGAUUGCAUUUUGCGAACAUGUUUAUCCUAAAUUUUAUUUAAAAAAAUCAUUUUAAUCGACUCUACUACUAAAACGGACUGUACGCAUCAUUGAUUUUGGGCCUACCAUAAAAAGCCGUACACCAUUUCGCUUACAGUUAUUCAUAUAAAUAUUUUUCAAAAUGCGGCAGAAAAUGGUCCGAUCCGACCUAUCUUCAACAGAAUCUUUCCUUGGGCCAAAAAACGUCGAUAUACCAAAUCUCGUCAAAAAAACUUAAAUAUUGACACCUUUAUGUUGAACACAAAAUACAAGACCCACGGAUGCACAGAUAAGCAAAUUUAUUAUUAAAAAGUGGAUCUAUUUCAAGUCCUUCUGGGUGCUGUUUACAUCGUUACAAAGAUAGUAUGUGGCGGAUAAUGGCGGGGAUUAUAUUUUGAUGGGUCGCUCAGUGCGCUGAGCAGGCGUUCCGAGAGAUAUCUCAUUUCUUUUCCCGCAUGUCAAAAUAAGUGCAUUAGGGACUCUUACUUUUGAGCCUUAUAUCGGCACAUUUUCGAUCACCAGCAACCAAUCAACCACCAAUUAAUAACAUUCGCCAAAUAAACUUACAUUUGAAAAUAGCUGUGAAGCAAUCAACGAUAAAAACUUAAGGUCUAUUUGCAUUGCUUUUAGUGUUUAUUUGCGUUGCCUUUAGUGUUUAUUUGCAAGCUCCACCAAUCAGCCCAAUGGGCAGACAUUUGUCAUCCAUGUUACCUAUUGUUCGUCUUACAUGUUUUCGGAAACAAAGUAAAAUUGAGAGUCUAUGAACCGCACAUAAGAAACGCCUAAAGUACGCUUAUACUUCGAGAGUAAGUCAAAAGCGUCAGUCAACCGCACAUAAGAGAAGACUAAGUAAGAGGGUGAAGCAAUCCCAUAUAAGAGACAGGUAAGACACAAUUAUCACCCGCGUUUACACCUUACACGAAACUAGAUUCAAAUCGAGUCAGCCAAUCACAUAAAAGGCGCUAAAAACGCAGUUAUUCCUCGUUUUACGCGUUAUUCUUUUUAUACGUUUUCAAAAACAAAUUAAAAGAGUUAGCCGAUCAGACGUAAGAGCCGCCAUAGGUACACUUAUCCGCCUCUUUACGCGUUAUUUAUUUUAUAAGUUUUCCGUAAAAACAUAUGAAAAUUAAAUUCCCAAAGAGAAAACUAGCAUCAAAGAAACAAGUCUGUCUGUCUGUAUGUCUUGUACGGUUCUUUUCAGCUUACAGGUCGCAAUUUCUAAGAUAUUUUGACGAAAUUUGUUAUACUGUUGUGUUCCGGAUGAACGCUAUUGAAAAACGUCCGGAUUUAACCAUUUUCUCAAUUUCCAUAUUAAUGAUCCACUGCCCACUAUAAACUUUUUAGUAGUUUUUGUGGUAUAAAUUUUUUUUAUAUAUUAAUAAAUGCCCUGAAGCUUCUAAAAUAUGGGAAAAAAAUUUUAUUUAAUAUAAAAAAUCUUCACCCAGAAGCUCUGUUUUAGAAAACUACGGGUGUGUUAAUCCUACACCACUGGUAUUAAGUUUGAUUGGACGGUCAUAAUACUCAGAAGUGUUUGAGAUAGAUCCAUCUUUUGUUAUAUCGAUCGUUUCAGGGCCACAGAGAGAGAAUUUGAUCGUCCGUCUGUGUGUCUUAUCCUUUUCGUCUUUAACUCGCUGGUCGCAAUUUUUGACAUAUUUUGAUGAAAAUUGGCUGUCGUGUUUUAGCCCAAGGACGAACGCUAUUAAAAGUGAUUCGGUUUGGACCAUUUUAUCGACCACUUCCCAUAUAAAGAUUUGCUUUGAAAAGCCGUUGUAUGAAUAUGAAUAAAUGCAAGAUAGUGUGUAGGGUAUUUAAUGAUGGGCCGUGGCCCACUAUAGUCUUUUUAUUUGUUUGCUUUGUUCGCAUAAUAAUUUCCUCCAAUAUUAGUAUCCUAUUACACUCUUGUGGCAAACCGCCAGAAAAGCUUUUUUAAUUGUUUUAGUGACUUCGCCUUUGAAAUAUUACGAAAAUAAAUAGAUAGAUAGUCGAAGUUGAUCUUUUUUUUCGUUUCCUUUUUUUUUGAUUUUGGAAAUGUUGUAAGAUCUCAGGACCUGUAAAACGAGUAUACUUAAAUAUUGUAUGCUUGAGGCAUAUUAUUAACUGGUCCAACUCUAAAUUUUUUUAUUUUUUUUUUAUUUUUAGUACGAGCAACCGUUUAGGGGAUAUGUCACUAUUCGUAUACAACCCAGUCAGAAGGGAGAGAGGAAAGAGAAAGUAAUAGGGAGGUGAUGAAAUUUACCACACCUCCAUUCUAACGACAAUGUUGACAGAAAUUUCCAUGCCAGUGUUUGCAAGAGGGUUGCUAUCAAGAUUCCUUCCAAUUUUUGGAAUACGUUUUUGUAGAUCGCCUAAGUGCAGUGCUUCGGCAUUAACAAACCAUUGCGCUAAGGGAAUUCACAGUUCGAUAAAGAGCUUAAGAUGAUCAUGUUAGGUUACCGGAAUAGGGAUGAUGCAUAAAGAAUGAAAGCUGAACGUCACUGAUUCAAAGCUAUACAACAACAAUAUCUGACUCUCGAUCUAUUCGCUAUAUGCCCAAAUGUUUUUUUCCGAAUCAUACUUGAAAGUUGAGAAAAAUAUGCAAAAAAAUUUUAAACAAAUUUCUCUUUUUUUUUUUUUUUUUGGAUCAGAAAAAUUCGCUAUUUUUGAUCAAUUUUUUUCUAUUAUUUUAUCCAUAAAUAUAAAAACUUUCACUUUACGUAAUUAAAUAUCUGCGCAUAAAUUAAAAACAAAAAGUAAAGUUUUUUUUUUUUUUUUAAAUAAAUUCAAAAGUUUUAUGUUAAAUAUUUGUCAAACAACUGAAAAUUGAAGAGAAACAAUAGGCGUCGUAUGUGUCGUGCCGUGUUUUCAUUCAUUCAUUGCUAUGCUAUUGUCAUCAAUUUAUUUGCAAUAGUUUGUUGCUUUGUAUUAUGGUAUAUGAAAUGUAGGUCGCGGUCUGCUCAUAUACUUAAAAAUAAAUCUAAUUGGAAAACGUAAGUGCGUGCGAGGUGUGUACAAAAGAAAAAAAGGUGAUUUCUUAUUUUUCGGGAAAAAUAUAUUUGGUUGGUAUAUAUAUAUAUAUAUAUCUAUUUUGCCCCCUUGAAAAUGGUCUCCUCUCUCAGACAUAAGACACUUGUGCCCGAGCAUUGUCCAAUUCUCGAAGCUCUGCUGAUAUGCCCAUUUUGUUUUUGGGCCUUCAGCGGUUUUUAUCUCCUGAAUCGUAGUAAAACUGCAUUCUUUCAUGGGCCUUUUCAGUUAAGGGAGCAGGAAAGCCUCAGGAGGCAAAGUUCGAAGAAUGCGGCGGCUAUGACAUGAAUACAGUGUGGUUUUCGGCCAAAUAAGGAUGAGUAUAGGCCGGGAGCCUUCAAACUUGCUUGAAGGCCAUCGACCGCAGACAGCGAAAACCCCAGCUUCUCGUGGGUGGCUGAUAGUGUUCAGAAACAUAUUGGACUAUGUUGCGCUUGUAUACAGGUACAUUCAGCGCAAGUGCUCUACGAAGAUAAAAAUUGAAUCGUUCAACAGGACUAUCAAUCGUCCUGGAGUUAUCUGAGUACACCAGAACAUACUACCGUGAAUCUUCGUUUUUUAAACGUACUGCCCGUUUUUGGAACAACCUACUCGACAGUGCUCUUUCCUGCCCUACCUGAUGAUGAAGACGAACGUUCACAAACGUUUCUCCUCUUCUUCACCCCACUCUUCCUAACUCUGACCGUGCCCGCAAAUAUAGGGGAUAGGCUGGUCGUAGAAAAAGAAA
Long non-coding RNA from Glossina fuscipes, 8276 nucleotides. RefSeq lists it as uncharacterized. The record is from RefSeq and is a predicted model, not a curated record. NCBI's taxonomy places the organism in Eukaryota, Metazoa, Arthropoda, Insecta, Diptera, Glossinidae. The transcript has 2 exons.